RNAcentral lists this small RNA (121 nucleotides) under Brucella daejeonensis. Its description in RNAcentral is "Ochrobactrum daejeonense ar14". It matches the Rfam family "Alphaproteobacterial ar14". Rfam says of the family: Smr14C2 was renamed NfeR1 (Nodule Formation Efficiency RNA) highly expressed in salt stress and during the symbiotic interaction on legume roots. The record is from RNAcentral. Lineage: Bacteria; Pseudomonadati; Pseudomonadota; Alphaproteobacteria; Hyphomicrobiales; Brucellaceae.
CGUUGUUCGGUUUUACUCCUCCUCCCAAAAACCGAACCAGAAGCGCGAUACUCCUCCUCCCAAAUCGCGCUUUACAGAUCAGCCCACUGCACACUCCUCCUCCCAGUGCAGUGGGCGUUCU